GUAACGGUGUCUUUAGACACCACCUUUAUUUUUUAUUUUAUUUUCU
This is a non-coding RNA of Picea glauca (white spruce), 46 nucleotides long. The record is from Rfam. NCBI's taxonomy places the organism in Eukaryota, Viridiplantae, Streptophyta, Pinopsida, Pinales, Pinaceae.